Molecule: long non-coding RNA, 885 nt
Organism: Juglans regia (Persian walnut)
Lineage: Eukaryota; Viridiplantae; Streptophyta; Magnoliopsida; Fagales; Juglandaceae
Exons: 2
Source: RefSeq, a predicted model, not a curated record
ACGAAUCUCACGUGGAACUGCUGCUGUCAGAGUUAUUUAAAAAAUUAAAAAAUAAAAUUAAAAAAGAAAGAAAAAAAAUGAAAAGAAUACUACCCCUUCCGAAGAAGACUUCCCCUUCGUGCAAAUCCCAAGAUUCGGUGGUAGUGCUCUCUCGUUCCUCCCUUUACUGCAGCUUGGCCAAUCUCUUCCCCGCGUGACCCACAUUCGAGAUGCCUGUCGUCAAGUCUUUACCGUCAUCUUUUGAAGAACCACAGUCUCAAGGGUACGCAAGAAUCUCUAAAUGGUCUGUUCAGCUGAAUGGUUGUUGGUGGUGCUUAAAACAAUCCAUACUUGUUUGGAGCUGCAAAAAGGAAUCUUUUCUUUAAUCUUCUAUAUGCUGAAGGCAGUAGCUCAAUGUUGCAGUUAUGAUGAAUUAGAUUAGAUUGUUAGAGGAGUUUUGGUUGUUCCUCCAUUUAGGUCCUGACUUUUUGGAAGCUGUUUGAUGUAUCAUCAUUCGAGUAGUUGUUAUGCUCAGUCCACCUUAGCAUUUGGUCAGAGUUUGCUCAGGCUGAAAGAGCCUACUGUUUUGCCGCGUUGCCGUGAAGAUGAUCUUCACUUGGUGCAGUUUGUGCUGGAUUCAGCUGCACAAGAAUAUUCUGAGAAAGCAAAUGUUCAUCCACCUCAGAUCAUAGUCGACAAUAUUGUCUAUCUCAAGUGUAUGGAGUAGAUCAUUUUUUAAUGUUUCAACUGUAAUGGCACUUCUUAAGUGUUUUGGUUAUGAUGUACAAAAUGGGUAUUUGUAGGUUCAUUAAAUUAACCUUUGUAAUGAAAAGUUGUGUAAUGAAAACAACUUGUGCACAUGGUUUUGUAGAGAUUCCAUUGAAAUGAGAAACAUUAGUUCUUGAA